UACUUAGUUAGUUGGUUAAGGUAACGGCGUUACCAAGACGAUGAUGGGUAGGGUCCUGAGAGGGAGAUCCCCCACACUGGUACUGAGACACGGACCAGACUCCUACGGGAGGCAGCAGUGAGGAAUAUUGGACAAUGGGCGCAAGCCUGAUCCAGCCAUGCCGCGUGCAGGAAGAAGCAUCUAUGGUGUGUAAACUGCUUUUGUACAGGAAGAAACACUCCCUCGUGAGGGAGCUUGACGGUACUGUAAGAAUAAGGAUCGGCUAACUCCGUG
RNAcentral lists this ribosomal RNA (273 nucleotides) under uncultured bacterium. Its description in RNAcentral is "partial 16S ribosomal RNA". It matches the Rfam family "Bacterial small subunit ribosomal RNA", at positions 238 to 507 of the family's 1533-position model. The record is from RNAcentral.